RNAcentral lists this ribosomal RNA (372 nucleotides) under uncultured organism. Its description in RNAcentral is "partial 16S ribosomal RNA". It matches the Rfam family "Bacterial small subunit ribosomal RNA", at positions 527 to 896 of the family's 1533-position model. The record is from RNAcentral.
GUAGGUGGCAAGCGUUGUCCGGAAUUAUUGGGCGUGAAGCGCGCGCAGGUGGUUCUUUAAGUCUGAUGUGGAAGCCCCCGGCUCAACCGGGGAGGGUCAUUGGAAACUGGGGAACUUGAGUGCAGGAGAGGAAAGUGGAAUUCCACGUGUAGCGGUGAAAUGCGUAGAUAUGUGGAGGAACACCAGUGGCGAAGGCGACUUUCUGGCCUGUAACUGACACUGAGGCGCGAAAGCGUGGGGAGCAAACAGGGAUUAGAUACCCUGGUAGUCCACGCCGUAAACGAUGAGUGCUAAGUGUUGGGGGGGUUUCCGCCCCCUCAGUGCUGCAGCUAACGCAUUAAGCACUCCGCCUGGGAUACGGUCGCAAGACUG